Molecule: long non-coding RNA, 466 nt
Organism: Syzygium oleosum
Lineage: Eukaryota; Viridiplantae; Streptophyta; Magnoliopsida; Myrtales; Myrtaceae
Exons: 3
Source: RefSeq, a predicted model, not a curated record
AGAGAGGUAUCGCAAAAGGACUUAGAUUUAGAGUCUGACCCUUGGACUGGCAUCUCAGACAGUGUGAAGGAUCUGAUAAAGAAGAUGCUUGAAAGAGACCCUAGGAAAAGAUUUCUGCUCAGCAAGUUCUGCGUCACUCGUGGAUUGUUGAUGACGGAGUUGUCCCCGAACAUACCUCUCGUUCCUAGUAAAACAAAUCCCAGAAUUAUGGGAUAUCUCUCUCUCUCUCUUUAGGACCUUUAUUUUGUUCCUCUAGGUCAACUGUGGAUUGUUGGUGACGGAGUUUCCCCCGACAUACGUCUCAUCUGAAGCAAGUCUCAUCAAUGAACAAACUUUAAAAGAUGGCAUUGGUGUAUGCUGUUGAUUUUUUAUUUUUUUGUGAAUGUUGUAGAUUAUCAUAUGAAAAUUGGAUGUACAUUGAACAAUGUUUCUGUAACUUUCAAAUAAGUUGUGAGAUUCGUACAUU